RNAcentral lists this transfer RNA (154 nucleotides) under Desulfurococcales archaeon. RNAcentral's name for it is "tRNA-OTHER". The record is from RNAcentral. Lineage: Archaea; Thermoproteati; Thermoproteota; Thermoprotei; Desulfurococcales.
AGCGGGGUAGGGUAGCCUGGUAGCCCGCGGGAGGAGCGGGAGCCGGGAGCUGGUCCCCGGCCCUGCCCCGCGAAGCUCAUAACACCAACCGGGGCCCUGAGGCCCCGGAGGGUCGAGCCCGAGGUCGGUGGUUCAAAUCCACCCCCCGCUACCA